CCUACGGGUGGCAGCAGUGAGGAAUAUUGGUCAAUGGCCGUAAGGCUGAACCAGCCAAGUAGCGUGAGGGAAGACUGCCCUAUGGGUUGUAAACCUCUUUUAUGCGGGGAUAAAGGUGUCCACGUGUGGAUGUUUGCAGGUACCGCAUGAAUAAGGACCGGCUAAUUCCGUGCCAGCAGCCGCGGUAAUACGGAAGGUCCGGGCGUUAUCCGGAUUUAUUGGGUUUAAAGGGAGCGUAGAUGGGUUGUUAAGUCAGUUGUGAAAGUUUGCGGCUCAACCGUAAAAUUGCAAUUGAUACUGGCAGUCUUGAGUACAGUUGAGGUAGGCGGAAUUCGUGGUGUAGCGGUGAAAUGCUUAGAUAUCACGAAGAACUCCGAUUGCGAAGGCAGCUUACUAAACUGCCACUGACAUUGAUGCUCGAAAGUGUGGGUAUCAAACAGGAUUAGAUACCCGGGUAGUC
This 460-nucleotide ribosomal RNA is filed under the name uncultured bacterium. Its description in RNAcentral is "partial 16S ribosomal RNA". It matches the Rfam family "Bacterial small subunit ribosomal RNA", at positions 338 to 795 of the family's 1533-position model. The record is from RNAcentral.